UAUUGGACAAUGGGCGAAAGCCUGAUCCAGCAAUGCCGCGUGAGUGAUGAAGGCCUUCGGGUCGUAAAGCUCUUUUACCAGGGAUGAUAAUGACAGUACCUGGAGAAUAAGCUCCGGCUAACUCCGUGCCAGCAGCCGCGGUAAUACGGAGGGAGCCAGCGUUGUUUGGAAUUACUGGGCGUAAAGAGUACGUAGGCGGUUAUUCAAGUCAGAGGUGAAAGCCCGGGGCUCAACCCCGGAACUGCCUUUGAAACUAGAUAACUAGAGUCUUGGAGAGGUCAGUGGAAUUCCGAGUGUAGAGGUGAAAUUCGUAGAUAUUCGGAAGAACACCAGUGGCGAAGGCGACGACGGACUAGUACUGACGCGAGGUACGAGG
RNAcentral lists this ribosomal RNA (376 nucleotides) under uncultured bacterium. RNAcentral's name for it is "bacterial SSU rRNA". It matches the Rfam family "Bacterial small subunit ribosomal RNA", at positions 362 to 758 of the family's 1533-position model. The record is from RNAcentral.